This 757-nucleotide ribosomal RNA is filed under the name Bacillus xiamenensis. RNAcentral's name for it is "bacterial SSU rRNA". It matches the Rfam family "Bacterial small subunit ribosomal RNA", at positions 76 to 818 of the family's 1533-position model. Lineage: Bacteria; Bacillati; Bacillota; Bacilli; Caryophanales; Bacillaceae. The record is from RNAcentral.
GAGCUUGCUCCCGGAUGUUAGCGGCGGACGGGUGAGUAACACGUGGGUAACCUGCCUGUAAGACUGGGAUAACUCCGGGAAACCGGAGCUAAUACCGGAUAGUUCCUUGAACCGCAUGGUUCAAGGAUGAAAGACGGUUUCGGCUGUCACUUACAGAUGGACCCGCGGCGCAUUAGCUAGUUGGUGAGGUAACGGCUCACCAAGGCGACGAUGCGUACCCGACCUGAGAGGGUGAUCGGCCACACUGGGACUGAGACACGGCCCAGACUCCUACGGGAGGCAGCAGUAGGGAAUCUUCCGCAAUGGACGAAAGUCUGACGGAGCAACGCCGCGUGAGUGAUGAAGGUUUUCGGAUCGUAAAGCUCUGUUGUUAGGGAAGAACAAGUGCAAGAGUAACUGCUUGCACCAUGACGGUACCUAACCAGAAAGCCACGGCUAACUACGUGCCAGCAGCCGCGGUAAUACGUAGGUGGCAAGCGUUGUCCGGAAUUAUUGGGCGUAAAGGGCUCGCAGGCGGUUUCUUAAGUCUGAUGUGAAAGCCCCCGGCUCAACCGGGGAGGGUCAUUGGAAACUGGGAAACUUGAGUGCAGAAGAGGAGAGUGGAAUUCCACGUGUAGCGGUGAAAUGCGUAGAGAUGUGGAGGAACACCAGUGGCGAAGGCGACUCUCUGGUCUGUAACUGACGCUGAGGAGCGAAAGCGUGGGGAGCGAACAGGAUUAUAUACCCUGGUAGUCCACGCCGUAAACGAUGAGUGCUA